RNAcentral lists this ribosomal RNA (585 nucleotides) under uncultured Bacillus sp. RNAcentral's name for it is "partial 16S ribosomal RNA". It matches the Rfam family "Bacterial small subunit ribosomal RNA", at positions 984 to 1533 of the family's 1533-position model. The record is from RNAcentral. Lineage: Bacteria; Bacillati; Bacillota; Bacilli; Caryophanales; Bacillaceae.
ACAUGUCCGGAACCUUGCAGAGAUGCGAGGGUGCCUUCGGGAAUCGGAACACAGGUGCUGCAUGGCUGUCGUCAGCUCAUGUCGUGAGAUGUUGGGUUAAGUCCCGUAACGAGCGCAACCCUUGUCCUUAGUUACCAGCACCUCGGGUGGGCACUCUAAGGAGACUGCCGGUGACAAACCGGAGGAAGGUGGGGAUGACGUCAAGUCAUCAUGGCCCUUACGGCCAGGGCUACACACGUGCUACAAUGGUCGGUACAGAGGGUUGCCAAGCCGCGAGGUGGAGCUAAUCCCAUAAAACCGAUCGUAGUCCGGAUCGCAGUCUGCAACUCGACUGCGUGAAGUCGGAAUCGCUAGUAAUCGUGAAUCAGAAUGUCACGGUGAAUACGUUCCCGGGCCUUGUACACACCGCCCGUCACACCAUGGGAGUGGGUUGCUCCAGAAGUAGCUAGUCUAACCGCAAGGGGGACGGUUACCACGGAGUGAUUCAUGACUGGGGUGAAGUCGUAACAAGGUCAGCCGUAGGGGAACCUGCGGCAUGUAUCACCUCCGUAAGCUUGGAUUCCCGGGAAUCGAAUUCCCGCGCAC